AUGCACACAUAUCAAGCUCAUACAACAAGCUUCUUCACCCAGGUACAAGAAAACCAAGCACACAUGGCACAUAGCCUCCGCCAGCUGCAAGAUUCUAACGCAUCACUAACAGUCCAAAUUCAGCAGCUUCAGCUCUCCGAACGUCCACACCACGGUAGGAGUCAUUGCCGACGAAAAUAUUCAUCUGACGAGACAGGGGGUAAUGGAGGCAUGCAUUAG
Non-coding RNA from Vicia faba (fava bean), 219 nucleotides. The record is from the annotation of a GenBank genome assembly. NCBI's taxonomy places the organism in Eukaryota, Viridiplantae, Streptophyta, Magnoliopsida, Fabales, Fabaceae.